This 478-nucleotide ribosomal RNA is filed under the name uncultured bacterium. RNAcentral describes it as "partial 16S ribosomal RNA". It matches the Rfam family "Bacterial small subunit ribosomal RNA", at positions 28 to 523 of the family's 1533-position model. The record is from RNAcentral.
GACGAACGCUGGCGGCGUGCUUAACACAUGCAAGUCGAACGGUAAGGCCCUUCGGGGUACACGAGUGGCGAACGGGUGAGUAACACGUGGGUGAUCUGCCCUGCACUUCGGGAUAAGCCUGGGAAACUGGGUCUAAUACCGGAUAGGACUCCUGGCUUCAUGGUUGGGGGUGGAAAGCUUUUGCGGUGUGGGAUGGGCCCGCGGCCUAUCAGCUUGUUGGUGGGGUAAUGGCCUACCAAGGCGACGACGGGUAGCCGGCCUGAGAGGGUGACCGGCCAGACGGGGACUGAGAGACAGCCCAGACUCCUACGGGAGGCAGCAGGGGGGAAUAUUGCACAAUGGGCGCAAGCCUGAUGCAGCGACGCCGCGUGAGGGAUGACGGCCUUCGGGUUGUAAACCUCUUUCAGCACCGACGAAGCGCAAGUGACGGUAGGUGCAGAAGAAGGACCGGCCAACUACGUGCCAGCAGCCGCGGUAA